GCCCAUCUCAGCCACAUGGAGAUCCUUAGGCCUUGGGAUUUCGUCCCGGACCACCUCCAUUGCUUCAUGAUCCAGGCCCACCUUCGAAAGUACUUGAAACCCAGAUCCUCGCUUGGCCGAAUUGACUCAGCCUGCCUCAAAGGUCACCUGCCUCUUCUCCGACGAUCACCGUCUGGCAAAUUUCGUCGGCUUUUGCCAUCUAUUAGAAUCUAGUGGAGAAACCGGCGAGCUUCCCUGCGCUCUAGGCAAGCUCGGGCG
This 258-nucleotide long non-coding RNA is filed under the name Elaeis guineensis (African oil palm). Its description in RNAcentral is "long non-coding RNA (EGUI_LNC027057)". Lineage: Eukaryota; Viridiplantae; Streptophyta; Magnoliopsida; Arecales; Arecaceae. The record is from RNAcentral.